CUUGAGCAUUAAGAAAUUAUAUUGCAAGACCUAAAGAAACCUUGAUGGCUUGAAUUACUCCUUCAUUCUGUGAGUGCAAUAUUUAUUGCAGGGAUAUCUCUACUAAACGGUGUUUCCCUAUGAAUGUUCUCUGCUUUUGUUUUUUCUAGUUUUAUUCUAUAGUAUUUCUCAUUCUCUCCCUUCUUAAUCUGAUAGCCCUGUGCAGCCUGUUACUAGUUUUGUUACUAGUUUGGGGUAUGCUGAAUCUCAUAUAGAUUCUUACGUAUUUUGACGUAUCCAUGAUGUAUC
Non-coding RNA from Pelobates cultripes (western spadefoot toad), 288 nucleotides. NCBI's taxonomy places the organism in Eukaryota, Metazoa, Chordata, Amphibia, Anura, Pelobatidae. The record is from the annotation of a GenBank genome assembly.